CCUACGGGCGGCAGCAGUGAGGAAUAUUGGUCAAUGGCCGAAAGGCUGAACCAGCCAAGUCGCGUGAAGGACGACUGCCCUAUGGGUUGUAAACCUCUUUUAUAAGGGAAGAAUAAGUGCUACGUGUAGCAUUAUGCCUGUACCUUAUGAAUAAGCAUCGGCUAACUCCGUGCCAGCAGCCGCGGUAAUACGGAGGAUUCGAUCGUUGUCGGGAUUUAUUGGGUUUAAAGGGUGCGUAGGGGGUUUUUUAAUUUAGUGGUUAAACGUCGGGGCUUCACCUUGAUUUGCCAUUAAUACUGUAAGACUUGAGUGCAGAAGAGGUAGGCGGAAUAAG
Molecule: ribosomal RNA, 334 nt
Filed under: uncultured bacterium
Lineage: Bacteria
Description: partial 16S ribosomal RNA
Rfam family: Bacterial small subunit ribosomal RNA
Source: RNAcentral